UAAUACGUAGGGUGCGAGCGUUAAUCGGAAUUACUGGGCGUAAAGCGUGCGCAGGCGGCUUUGUAAGACAGAUGUGAAAUCCCCGGGCUCAACCUGGGAACUGCAUUUGUGACUGCAAGGCUAGAGUGCGUCAGAGGGAGGUGGAAUUCCGCGUGUAGCAGUGAAAUGCGUAGAGAUGCGGAGGAACACCGAUGGCGAAGGCAGCCUCCUGGGAUGACACUGACGCUCAUGCACGAAAGCGUGGGGAGCAAACAGG
Molecule: ribosomal RNA, 256 nt
Filed under: uncultured bacterium
Lineage: Bacteria
Description: partial 16S ribosomal RNA
Rfam family: Bacterial small subunit ribosomal RNA
Source: RNAcentral